GUGUGGCUAGAGCCGCUACGCAAUAAAUACCAUCAUUCCAAUACUUUAUUUCAGGUGACGAUGCAGUCAUCCACCGCGCCCUUUUGGAAGGGCUUGAUGAGAGUAGAGCAUGCGUUCUUUAACAGAGGUGGUUUUAAGGUAGGUGAUGGGACGACUAUGAGCUUAUGGGAGGAUUCAUGGUUGGGGGACAUGCCAUUAGCUUUACAGUAUCCCAGCCUUUGUAAUAUUACGCAGCAGAAAUAGGUUUUUGUUAGCCCAAUAUUAGGGACAAGCCACUUGAAUAUUCAGUUUGGAAGUACCUUAGUCGGGGAUAAGUGGACGACAUGAUUCAAUUUAGUUUGUCGCUUCAUGAGGAUCAACAUAACUAAUGAGUCAGAUUUAUUUCAAUGGCAGUUCCAUCCCUGUUGUAAAAUCCAUGUAUACGAACCUUACUAA
This 435-nucleotide ribosomal RNA is filed under the name Triticum aestivum (bread wheat). RNAcentral's name for it is "partial small subunit ribosomal RNA". Lineage: Eukaryota; Viridiplantae; Streptophyta; Magnoliopsida; Poales; Poaceae. The record is from RNAcentral.